UACGUAGGUGGCAAGCGUUGUCCGGAAUUACUGGGCGUAAAGAGCUCGUAGGUGGUUUGUCGCGUUGUUCGUGAAAACCGGGGGCUUAACCCUCGGCGUGCGGGCGAUACGGGCAGACUGGAGUACUGCAGGGGAGACUGGAAUUCCUGGUGUAGCGGUGGAAUGCGCAGAUAUCAGGAGGAACACCGGUGGCGAAGGCGGGUCUCUGGGCAGUAACUGACGCUGAGGAGCGAAAGCGUGGGGAGCGAACAGG
This 253-nucleotide ribosomal RNA is filed under the name uncultured bacterium. RNAcentral describes it as "partial 16S ribosomal RNA". It matches the Rfam family "Bacterial small subunit ribosomal RNA", at positions 524 to 776 of the family's 1533-position model. The record is from RNAcentral.